Molecule: ribosomal RNA, 1094 nt
Filed under: uncultured bacterium
Lineage: Bacteria
Description: bacterial SSU rRNA
Rfam family: Bacterial small subunit ribosomal RNA
Source: RNAcentral
GCCAUGCCGCGUGUGUGAAGAAGGCCUUUUGGUUGUAAAGCACUUUAAGCAGUGAAGAAGACCUAACGGUUAAUACCCGUUAGCGAUGACAUUAGCUGCAGAAUAAGCACCGGCUAACUCUGUGCCAGCAGCCGCGGUAAUACAGAGGGUGCAAGCGUUAAUCGGAAUUACUGGGCGUAAAGCGAGCGUAGGUGGCUUGAUAAGUCAGAUGUGAAAUCCCCCGGGCUUAACCUGGGAACUGCAUCUGAUACUGUUGGGCUAGAGUAGGUGAGAGGGAGGUAGAAUUUCAGGUGUAGCGGUGAAAUGCGUAGAGAUCUGAAGGAAUACCGAUGGCGAAGGCAGCCUCCUGGCAUCAUACUGACACUGAGGUUCGAAAGCGUGGGUAGCAAACAGGAUUAGAUACCCUGGUAGUCCACGCCGUAAACGAUGUCUACUAGUCGUUGGGGAACUUGAUUCCUUAGUGACGCAGCUAACGCAAUAAGUAGACCGCCUGGGGAGUACGGCCGCAAGGUUAAAACUCAAAUGAAUUGACGGGGGCCCGCACAAGCGGUGGAGCAUGUGGUUUAAUUCGAUGCAACGCGAAGAACCUUACCUGGUCUUGACAUAUCUAGAAUCCUGCAGAGAUGCGGGAGUGCCUUCGGGAAUUAGAAUACAGGUGCUGCAUGGCUGUCGUCAGCUCGUGUCGUGAGAUGUUGGGUUAAGUCCCGCAACGAGCGCAACCCUUUUCCUUAGUUACCAGCGGUUUGGCCGGGGACUCUAAGGAUACUGCCAGUGACAAACUGGAGGAAGGCGGGGACGACGUCAAGUCAUCAUGGCCCUUACGACCAGGGCUACACACGUGCUACAAUGGUAGGUACAGAGGGCAGCUACGCAGCGAUGUGAUGCGAAUCUCAAAAAGCCUAUCGUAGUCCAGAUUGGAGUCUGCAACUCGACUCCAUGAAGUAGGAAUCGCUAGUAAUCGCGGAUCAGAAUGCCGCGGUGAAUACGUUCCCGGGCCUUGUACACACCGCCCGUCACACCAUGGGAGUUGAUUGCACCAGAAGUGGGUAGCCUAACUUUUAGAGGGCGCUCACCACGGUGUGGUUGAUGACUGG